UACGUAGGGUGCGAGCGUUGUCCGGAAUUACUGGGCGUAAAGAGCUCGUAGGUGGUUUGUCGCGUUGUUCGUGAAAACUCACAGCUUAACUGUGGGCGUGCGGGCGAUACGGGCAGACUGGAGUACUGCAGGGGAGACUGGAAUUCCUGGUGUAGCGGUGGAAUGCGCCAGAUAUCAGGAGGAACACCGGUGGCGAAGGCGGGUCUCUGGGCAGUAACUGACGCUGAGGAGCGAAAGCGUGGGGAGCGAACAGG
RNAcentral lists this ribosomal RNA (254 nucleotides) under uncultured bacterium. RNAcentral describes it as "partial 16S ribosomal RNA". It matches the Rfam family "Bacterial small subunit ribosomal RNA", at positions 524 to 776 of the family's 1533-position model. The record is from RNAcentral.